RNAcentral lists this long non-coding RNA (1045 nucleotides) under Equus caballus (horse). Its description in RNAcentral is "lncRNA (ENSECAG00000054552.1)". The record is from RNAcentral. Lineage: Eukaryota; Metazoa; Chordata; Mammalia; Perissodactyla; Equidae.
UGUUCAGCUUCUCCUCCAGGUUAUCCAUCUCCCCCCACACACCUUUUCCUGCUCUCUCUGUACUCAGAGUCUCUAGCCUCUGAAAGUUAUGUCUCUGUCUCCUAGUGGGCUCUGCCUGCAACCCUCUCCCCCCCAGGCCCCUGAUUGCUUGAAUUGUCUCAUUUGGUGGAGGAUGCAGUUCCUUACUAGAGGGUGUAGGGGGUGCAUGGCCUGAAUGGAAGAGAGAGACCCAGAUGCACAGAGAAAUGAGGCAGGGUUGAGUGAGGGGUUGAUGAGAUUGAGGGGUGAACAGGUAUAACAGCUCGCCGCAGGUUUGAACCCUGUAUUUCUGAUCCCUGAGGACCAGGCGCCUCCCCCCCCCCCCCCCCGCCCCCAGCUAAAAGCAAGAGAGUGCAUUAGGUAAGAAAAUACCCAGUUGAUCCCGUAUUAUGGGGUCCUCAGCCCCUACCUCCCAGCAUGUAAUCCUCAUACCCAGUUCCUGGUACCCAGUAUAGAUCAAUAAAAGAAUGAAUACAAUGAAAGCUUUAUUGAUCAUCUACUAUGUGUUGGGUGAUCACUGUUCUAGUCUGCAAGAUUUGUAAAACAUGGCUCCUGACCUCAAAGAUCUACAAUCUGGUGGAAACCCCAUUAUUUCCCCUUUCCAUGGAGAUGAUAUUUGAAAUUUUCACUCUAGUGCUCAGGAAUCACCCUCGGUCUGUCCCGUGGGUGUGGGGUCUUUUCCUGCAUCCUCCAAUGCCCCAGGACCACCUCCCAGGCAAGCUAAUUCAGUAUCCACCGAAUUAUAUUUCCCAGCCCCUCUCUUCCAGCCUACCAAACCCCGUCAAGUGUGGAGUUAAGUUUACCUGGAAGCUCAGGAAGUUUAAGCUUCAGGCCCCCUCACCUGCUUGACUCCUCCCACCACCCUGGUUAAUGAGUGCCAUCAAUUUAAACAGUUUUCAAGCAGUUAUUUAUUGAACAUUUACUACGGGCCACAGGAUUGGGGACCCAAAGUCAUCCUCUGCUUUCCAGGGCUUGACAGCCCAGGGGUAGAAAUAGCCAUGAAACC